Passer domesticus (house sparrow) is the source of this 8179-nucleotide long non-coding RNA. RefSeq lists it as uncharacterized. NCBI's taxonomy places the organism in Eukaryota, Metazoa, Chordata, Aves, Passeriformes, Passeridae. The transcript has 7 exons. The record is from RefSeq and is a predicted model, not a curated record.
CGAGCGCCGCCGCCUCACGCCAGGCGGUAAUGGCGGCUCAGUCACAGGGGAGAAAGAGAACGAGCCGCCCUUCGCAAACUCCUGGGGAGCAGCCGGGUUCAGUGCCACUCCACGGGGUUAAAGAGACUGUAGCAGGAACUUCAGAGUGGCAGCUGGAGCAGCAGAGGGACUGAACUGCAAGACGCACAGAAAAUUCUUACAGCUUCCAGAAUCCACUGGAUCUCAGCAGAGUAUCCCAGCUGUUAGCCAUUUACAGAGAAGUGGUCUUUCUACAGUUUGAUGCAGCAAUCAGGAAUCAGUUAUGGCUUGCUCGAGACUUUGAAGAAUACCAGUAUUAGUUUGUCCUUGAAGAGCCAAAACUACUGUGUUACUAGACCUUUGAAAGUCUACAUAAGUAUCAGCUGAUUCUUCUUUAUCCAGCAUUGCUUUUCUUCUAAGUGUUUGAUCUUCUCCUGAAUUUGAAGGCAAGAAUGAUUAAUCGCGCCUCAAUUUGUCAUGCUGAAUCAGAAGUCUGGAGGAGCUCACAACUGUAAUGUGGGGAUAAAACUGGAUUGUAGGAAAUUCUAAAGCCCAGACUGAAAAAAGACUCAUGCACACAAAGCAGGGAGCAGCGGGAUUGUACUGCAUUUGAAUCUACAGAGAGAAACAAGACAUUCAGUACAGCAAAGGGAGCUACACAUUUAGCCGGACUGUCACAUCAUUGAGGAAUUCUCUGUCUUCAAAACAGGGACACUGGUUCAUUCAAAUUGCUGUGAGGGCAACCUUCUACAACCAAAGAAAGAGAUGCUGUCAGAACACCUUCAAAGAGGAAAAAGAAAAAGCAGAUCAAAGCAUUUUUCAGAAAGAAAUACAAAGAUACCUAUCUUCUGGCCUGACUUACCGGGCAUGCACAAUUUAUAGUGGCUUUUUUGAUAACUGAAAACAAAGUCUAACAUGAGCCAAAGACUGAUUCAGUCUUUAUCUAACAUAAGUUCUAAAGAACUGCCCCAACACAGGCAAUACUGAGAAGCUCCCAAAAUUCUGGCUGCUGCCUUGUCUACUUGAGCCAAGUUUUGCUAGCUAAUGGUUAUGUGAGAAGCCAUUUUUGUGACACAAUCCAAACUGGUGUAUUUUUUCCCCUUUCACUUUCCUUUGAGAACUGGGAGAAAAGCUUGGUCAGCUGUACUAGCUAUGCUGCAACACUCAGCCUUAUUCCCAGCAGACAAAGAACAGCCCUUCCACAGAGGAAAAAAAAGAAAUAAAUAAUGUUGUGGGCAAACGGCAUUGUUGUUUUGGGAACACCCAGUCUCUAGCAUCCUGACACAACCACUUUAAUCAGCCUGAAACACAUGACAAUGCUCAGGACAUAUCUUAGCAGCUGAUACUCCCAUGUCUCUUCUAAUAUAAGUGGGUUAGACAUGAAAUGGUGGCAGCUGCAAAACUAAUAAGAAGUGAAACCUCACUGAAUCAAUAAAGCAUGUCAAAGUGUUUUUUAAGUUUUGUCAACUUCCACUUUAAGUAAGUUCAGAGCAAAUGGCAAAAAUUUAUUAGAGAAAUUAAGGAACCUGGGAGUGUUUUGAAAAACUGGCACAGCCAAAUCCACUGGAGGCAGUUUGUUGUACAAACUGUGAGAUACACACUGGCAGGCUCAGAACUGGAUACAUAAAGGUUAAAUUUCCAGUCUCUUCUUUGAUACUUUUGUAGCAAAGCCCAUCCAUUCCUGAGUAUCAAGUCUUACGCAGAACUUUCAUACAAUCAUUGUUUUUCAUUCUUGGAAGAAAAGGAAAAGGCAUUCUGUUUUCUCAUGACACCAUAUGUACUGUCAAGUAGGAUAAAACCUGGCAUUUUAAUAAAAACAACCCCAAACCACAAGCAACCCAACAAAUGCCCAAAACUCCUAAGACUUUUCACUGUGUCAGCAUUUCACUUCUAAGCAUUCACACUAAUAUUUCUCUAGUUCCUGUUUGCUACAGAGAAAAGACAGAACAAAAAAACAAACAAAAAAAAAAAAGAGGAAGAAAGAAAGUGGAAUGAGUUACACAAGUACUUUGUGAGCAAGGCAAAGAAACAAACUAGUGGAAAAAAAAGUGAUUUUUAAACAAUUUUUUAGGGAAUAGAUUCUAACCUGGCAGUGUAUCAAGCAUGCAAACUUGAGUCAAAAUAUUAUUAAGAGUUUUGCUGUUUUCUUCAAUGAAUACAGCAGACCAAAUUCCUCAUCCAACUGGGCCUUCAUCCAAAAGCACAUGAUACACUCACAAUCAACCCUUGGUGGGGAAAUCAACUUGGUGUAAAUUGCUUUAACCUCUACGUGCAGAUGAUAACUGAACUUUAGAGGAGCAAGACUGCAAAUUCCUACCUAGAAAUAAUUACUAUCUUAGCAUGAAAACAUUUAGCCUGUAAUAUGGUGCUAUCAAAAUAAUUACAUUUCUAUAUCUUUAAUCAGUUCAAAGUAAUUAAACAUAAUCUUUUUGUAAUGAGCAUCAAACAAAACCCAAAUACUAUAAAUGAUCACUAAUACACUUCCUCACUUCACCCAUGUUCUGUUCCUCUUCUUUCAUUUACCUUCUGUUACAUUUGGGGUUUGUCCCUCAUCUCCUCUCUCUUUAUUGUAUUACAUGAUCCUAUAGCUUUGUUCCUUGCCCUUUGCCAUUUGGGAUUCUUUUUACCCUACUCCCUCUUCUAGCACAAAAAGCUAGGAUUUUUUCAAAGUAAAAAUACCCACUUCCCCCCCACCCCCCACCCAAGAUUAACAAUCAAGUUUAUUCCUUUUAUACUUAAAAUCCAGAGAUGCUUCUUGCCCUUGGUAUACUGACUGAUGUGGAAAUUGAAGGUGCUCUCCUCAUACUCUACAUGAAUGUAAAAGGCUGCUUUUUCUGUCCUCUGUUAUUUCCUGCUGAUGCCAUCACAGUCUUCCAUAUGGAGUUUCUUUAGUUUGGUGUGUCUUGAUAGAUUGGAAGGCAGGAAGAAAUUACUGGCUUUGGCUAUAUACCCUUGCAAAAAAAAAAAAAAAAGGAAGGUUUGCUGUUGUGUAAAGGGAAGGUUUUGAAUGGUAACUGACUCCAGUAUAAAAGACUGUAUCUGUGCACAGGCAGAUUAAUUAGAUAUUAGAAAGGCAAAUGCAAAAAGGAAAAGGCACAUUAGGGUAGGGCAGGGCAAAUAUAAGGGUGGGUUGAAAUGACAAUCAUAGUGAAGAAAUAUAAGAAGGUAGGGGAUGAUUAUUGCAGGUGUUGACUCAUUCACAGUAAACACUUUUACUGCAUGAUAAUUUUCACCUUUUAUGUCUCAAAUAUUUAAUGGUAUCACUGAAAGAUGGUUUUGAACGUUGCAACUUGCCCUCUAGGCAGAUGAAACACACAGAUUGUGCCCCCACUGUUGCUUUGGAAUUUAUUUUUAAAGUAAACUUCUGUUUUUACCAAUACUUUCUCAGGGAAAGUGUCAGUCUCUUCAUCCACUAUCCUUUAACCUAGCCUGAAGAUGGAAUGGGAGGUAGAUUUUAGACAGAUAACCACAAAAGCUUGACAUGGAUGAGCAGAGAAACACAAAGAGGGUGAUUAUUCAUAGGAUUUGUCUCUUUUUACCAACUACCACGCCUACAUUUUUUUCAUGUAUUCCUGUGCUGCCGAUAGCUAGGCACCUGGCAAGGAACAAAAACUCCAUUCUGCAUUUGUACGUCAUGAAGCCUAAGAAACAGAAUGAGGAAAAAAAAAAGUUAGCAAGGAAAAGAAAAAAUUAGUUUCACUCCAGGCAAGAAAUGAUUCCCAAAAUCCUAUUUUGUCUGAAAUAGUUGCCUUUUAAUAUACAGAAAAAAUGGAAGCAACUCCUCGAGUAAUUCUUCAAUCUUAUUUUGGAGACCUAUUUUGCUGAAGAAUGGUUUUUAAAAAUAUCACCUGUUUACAUGACCCAGAAUAAUCACAGCAGUUCUAACAUUCACGUUGCACAUCCUGAACAGGCACAAUAUUCUAGGUAUUAAUGCCAAAUAGUUUGUAUUUCAUAUGGUAUAAUCAGUAUUAAAAAAUGUAGAAAUAGUUUUAUCACUACUUCUGCCCUGAGUUGUCUGGGGAAAGUUAAAACUGUCAAAGGCAUUACUUGUUUCAUAUAAUCUGUAUAUUUAAACUUGCAUGGCUUUGGAGAUACAGAAAAAGCAAAUCUGAAUAAGAUGCUACAAAAUCCUGUGCAACAUUGCAGGCAGAAAACUAACUUCAAUUGAUUAUAAAGUUUUUAAUAGGCAUUUCUUCCCUAUUUAUUAUAUUCAGUUUCUGAAUGCAAAUAGUUAUGCAUAUAUGAAGGAAAUUUAGUGGGUCUCUAGGUUCUUGACUCCAUUUCUUGUCAUUCUGUGUGAUUUUAAUAAAUCAGAGGGUUGGGACUAAUAAGGGACUGAUGUUUCAGGAUACAAAAGCCUUUCAGCCUUGGGGCUGAGCGUGCUAACGACAGGCUUAGUUCCCUGCAUGAAAAGAAAUGCAGGUAUAGAUCCAAAACAAGCAGCACACUCAGUGAGGAGCUAACAAGAGCUUUGUUUCAGGGUGAGGAAACUCUAUGAACAUAGACGUGGGUGAAGUCCCACCCUGGUGCUUGGCACCUUUAUCUUCUUUGGACUCAGAAUUUGGAGUCCUCUUCUGGCAGGGAGUGCCAAAAUCUGUUCUUUAAAACAAUGAAUAAAGAGUCCCUGUAGCUUUUCUGGUCUGUGACUUCAGUUCAUGUGGCUGCUGGUCACAGCAUUUUUCUUUGUGUUAUUGCUGGAAAACAGCAAGGUCGGUGUUAACAGCCUGCCAAAGGCGCUUAAAGGGCCUUUUGGGCUGUCAGCAGAUAUGAAAUUCCCAAUAAGCAACAUUCCUUUUCUUUUAAAGUGCAGCUGGAGGAAACAGUGUCCACCUUCUCUAUGCUGCUACCCAGUGGUCAGAGCAUUGGCCAGGAAGUGGGAGUUCCUGGGGAGCAUUCAUGCCUCAUCCCUGACCACCAUGCUAGACUGGGAGGAGGAAGAGCAGGAAGGAAACAGGGAGUCACCACCUUUUCGUUUGAAGUUAUGACCCUGCUCCAAAAAGCAUGUGAGCUCAAACAAGGACAAGCCAGCUGAGGCCAAAGAGCAAAAUAAGGAGGUGUCUCUCUCGUCUAGUUCAAUCAUCAAAACAGGGUCCUGGGGUUAAUUUAUGCAUUUCUGCAGUAACACUGGUCUGGGAAAAGUUAUCAGAAGCCAGGAAAAAGUGCCUACAGAUCCCUAUGUCUCCUUCCUUUUAGCUCACACUAGUGCCACACAUUUGCCAUCCUUUCCAGUAGGGCACAAACUCACCUAGUGAGGUGAUGAAUGGUUCCCUUUCGUUUUGCAAUCCUCCUGAGCAGCUGGGAGACUCUCCUGGUAGUUAGGAGGUGUUGAUGUAAAUGCCUUCGAGUUAAAAGGCAAUUCUUCAAUCCCUGGGUCACAGUACUGAAGGUAAGCACUCUACCAAAUUCUGCUGUGCCUACAGCAGAAGACCCUGACUUGUUGGCUUGGAGAGGUUCCACUCAGCAGGACCUCUCUUAGAGCUGCUCCAUCUACUUCCUAGACCACAAAGAGGACACAGGUUCCCAGGUGCCCAGUUUGGGGCAAUUCUGAACACUUCUCUCCAGAAACAGAUUAACAAGAGUUCAGGUGGCUGCUCAGAGGAGUUUUUCAGAACUGCAUUUUUAGUUUACCCACACUAUUUUCCUGGUUCUCAGUGUUUCAGGUUACAUUUAUACAGUUAAGUGUAGUUACAGAGUUGGCAACAUCCAGCAGGACUUUAAGUGGCCAUGGACUUUAAGUAGUUCUGGCCUAGUUCUAGUUCAUAGCCCAGCUCUUCUCAAAGCAACCCACUCCCCAGCAUAAACUAUUCCACAGACUUUCUGCAUGGAAGAUUUGGUCUCCUAAGGAGAAGCUGGUGUAUAAUUUACCCAUCCCUGCUGUAUUUGUGACCUCUAAGGAGGGAGGGUGGUAGGGUUUGGUGCAAAUGUAUGCCUGCAGCACAUAAUAGAACAGAACACAUUAGGUGUGCAAACACAUGCUUAGAAGCAAAUAAAGGCCACAUCUCCUCCCAAACAGAAUGGUUUGGACUUGACACCAAACUUGCUCCUGGGUUCAAAGGCAGUAGAGGAGCAGCCUCUGACUUUUUGGUGUCUCUUUGCAAAACAGGAGUCACAGAACUUUGUUUUCUCAGAGGGCAGCCGUGAAGAAAAAUGCAUUUUAAUCCAGAGUGCCAUUUAUUGUGGCAACAUGCCAAAACACAGAUCUAAAAAGGGAGGGUGAACUUUUUGAAGAGUCAUCCCAUCCUAGGUAUUUAGCAAUUGGAAUGAAGUAAGCCUUAAGAAAACCAGGUGUAAAGGAAAACAGUCAAAGGAAUUUAAUUUAAAAAGCAGUUCCUUCUAGACUGCACAAGCUUUAGUGUGUUCUUAUUAGUGCUCCAGUAUUUGACUAAAUGCAUUCUCUAGUAAAGUGCUCUUUUGUGACAUAGAGAAACUGGAAACUUUUAAAAGUAAAUAUAAUAUAUUUUAGAUCUUAUAUACUAGAAAGAACAUGAAUACAAUUACUAGAUAUUGUAUUUUCAAAAAUAAUUCUGCUGGAGGAUGUCAUCUGCAUAUGGCUAUAGAAGUCCUUAUCUGGUUUAAAAAAAAAAAGGAAGUUGAUAAAUCAUGAAGGAAGGAAAUACUGAGGUUUAAAACAGCCACAAAUUUGUUUUUCUUCAGCUUAUCAUUUUGAAAACUCAACUGCUGUAAUUCUGGAUGAGUUGCCAGAUUGUUUCCUUCAUAAUUCUGCCUCUCUCUUAUCCAUUCUUUAGGGAUCAAAAACAAGCAUAUUAACUUCGGGCUGUGAACACGCAAAUCAAACAAACACAUUCCCCUAACUUUGGGCUCUGAUUAAUUCCACUGGUAGCCUUUGACCUUGAUUUCCACAAUGUCUUGCAGUGCAUAAAGAAGCCUGACCUGGUAUCAGAAAACUGCAGAGAUUUGGUUUGGAAAAAAAAUAAAGCCAUCCUCAUCGCUAUUCCCUAAGUACUACAUUAAAAUCUAUAAAACAAAGGGCUGAAAUCUGAAGUUUAGGCCUUGGAGCCAGUUUCACAAUCUGUUUCCUGUAGCCAGAGUUCAUUUGGAGCCAGUGGAAAAAACAGCUUCUAAAAGAUAAAAGGCAGUGCUGUGACUUUCAAUCAAUCUUGGCAUUCAGUGUGUGAACAUAGCUGUACCAAAGUCUAAAACACCAAAGCUCCAGCUCUGAUUCUGGUUCAUUCUUCUGAUCUUGGAUGUAUGUUGUCAUUGUCAGAGACACCCUACAACUCAUGAUGGGAAAAAUAAGAUCUAGCCGACUUCAGGAGAUCAAAAUCUGGAUAGAAAUAAAGCAAACAGAUGUGACAUGCCCAUUCAUGGAAAAGUGGGAGACCAUAACGAGUGACAACAGAAUGGGAUGGGAAGCUGAAGUGGCACCUAAUGUAAAAAACAGAAGAAACAAACAACAUAAAAAGCACAGACAGAACUAUUUUCUUUGAACCCAUCAGUUGUGGUGGGCGGAGGCCUGGAGUGCUUAGAGAAGUCAGGACUCCUGUUUAUUACAGGUAGUGCUGAUUUCAGCAGAUGCAUUGUUCACCAGGGUGCCAAAGGCCUGGAGGAAGCAGCUGCGCGAAGCAGCCCAGGCCUGUCCACCCCGCUGAACAAUGGCAACGCAGCCUCCUUGCAGAAAGGGUUUUAUGGGGAAAAACAGCCUGGUCUUCCUUCAAAGGUACAGGUAAAUGCAAGUUUAAAGAAACUGUUCCAGAAAACAAAGGGAUGGCAGAUUUCUGUAAAGAAAUCAGAUUCUUUACAAAGAAGAGAGCUGGCGAUGGAUGGUGUUGGUGAGCCAGCCCAGGCUCUGUUCCUGGACUCAGAAGUGCUUUCUGUGCCUUUCUGGGGCGUAAGAGUAGCUCAUUCUGCAUUUACAUUCAGUUCUGACAUCUGAAUUUUAGAGUGGGAAAUGUGUUUGUGAGAAGCAAAAAAUAAUUAUGCGAGACCUUAUGUAGGCUCAAUGUCCUGUUUCUAAUUUACUCCCAAGUAUUCUUUUGCCUUUCUGUGUACUCAAAAUUUUAGUUUCAUGAUUGUUUCAAUGUGACAGCUGCAAACACUUGUUUUCUUCUCCUCUUCUCUGCCAAGAGGUGAACUGGAUCAAGGAACUGACUUGGCUGAAAAUGAAAAUUUAUCGUUAAAAGCACCUUUUUUUUUUUCUUUU